Molecule: ribosomal RNA, 612 nt
Filed under: Bacillus sp. MMRF616
Lineage: Bacteria; Bacillati; Bacillota; Bacilli; Caryophanales; Bacillaceae
Description: bacterial SSU rRNA
Rfam family: Bacterial small subunit ribosomal RNA
Source: RNAcentral
UGACGGAGCAAACGCCGCGUGAGUGAUGAAGGUUUUCGGAUCGUAAAACUCUGUUGUCAGGGAAGAACAAGUACCGGAGUAACUGCCGGUACCUUGACGGUACCUGACCAGAAAGCCACGGCUAACUACGUGCCAGCAGCCGCGGUAAUACGUAGGUGGCAAGCGUUGUCCGGAAUUAUUGGGCGUAAAGCGCGCGCAGGCGGUUCCUUAAGUCUGAUGUGAAAGCCCCCGGCUCAACCGGGGAGGGUCAUUGGAAACUGGGGAACUUGAGUGCAGAAGAGAAGAGUGGAAUUCCACGUGUAGCGGUGAAAUGCGUAGAGAUGUGGAGGAACACCAGUGGCGAAGGCGACUCUUUGGUCUGUAACUGACGCUGAGGCGCGAAAGCGUGGGGAGCAAACAGGAUUAGAUACCCUGGUAGUCCACGCCGUAAACGAUGAGUGCUAAGUGUUAGAGGGUUUCCGCCCUUUAGUGCUGCAGCAAACGCAUUAAGCACUCCGCCUGGGGAGUACGGCCGCAAGGCUGAAACUCAAAGGAAUUGACGGGGGCCCGCACAAGCGGUGGAGCAUGUGGUUUAAUUGGAAGCAACGCGAAGAACCUUACCAGGUCUUGACA